Molecule: long non-coding RNA, 679 nt
Filed under: Daphnia pulex (common water flea)
Lineage: Eukaryota; Metazoa; Arthropoda; Branchiopoda; Diplostraca; Daphniidae
Description: uncharacterized LOC124201893
Source: RNAcentral
AAGUUAUUUCCUUUCAAGAAAAAGGACUUACAGUCAACAAAAUUCCUUGUUUGCUAACCCGUUAUUGGCUGCUACCCUUGAAUCUCCCUAUUUGUCAACAACAAAAAAAGAGGUUAAAUAUUGUGAUCAUGCUUUCAUCAUUAUAUGGGGCAUCUGGUUAUCCCUCCAAAAUAUGGCAAUGGCCACACGUUGAACGCGGAUCAUUCGUUCUGUCAUCGAACUUGACUCAUUCCAUCUUCUGGAUUGCUUAGGAAAGCUGAUUGGUGUUACCUGUCAUUUAGGUAAUGACCGAGAAGAUGCGGCCUACAUGAACAUCAUUUAGGCGGCCAACAUCAUUUGACUACCCAACCGGCUUCUACUACCCUGCUCUCAACAUAUCACGGAGUUUUACCCUUUAGAUUUUUGGCUGUUCGCGAUGUGUGAUGGCGUUUCCUUGGACGAUAUGAUGAUUUUGGCGAGAAAAAUAUUGCGUUCUAACCUUCAGGUUCCUAAAUUUGCAUGACAGACUUUAUGAAAAGUAAUGUUCUUUCAAGAAAGUGAACAAGGUCCCUAGUUUGCUAACCCAAUGGCUGCUAUUCUUGAAUCUCCCUAUUAAGCUCCUUACACAGUCCCUCUUGAUUUGAGGGUAAUCCUUCGCUACUGAUCAUGGACUCCAUUGGUGAAACUGAAAACUGACGAG